CAGGCUGCCUCGAGGUGAGGCCUUCCAACAGGCUUGGAAAUUUCUGCUUGGAAACCUCAGAACACAAGGAUGUGUGAAUUCCUCCAUUUCCUUCGCUGCCUCCCCAUCAGUGCCUUGCCUGGGAACCCUCAUCUGUGUCAUCCCUUGGCCUGGACUGUGGGUGCUCCCUGGACUCUGUACCUGAGGUGGUGUCGAUCUCCCCGUCCUGCUCCUUGUAGCUGAAGGUGCUGCACAUGGUCUGGGUGCCCGACUCGUUGGUGAGAAAGCCCUUCCCACCAAUGCUGGUGUUGUGCCAGUCUUGGGCUGGUACAAGCAGCUGGAAGAGAAGAAGUAGAUGGUUAAAAACUCCUUCCUGCCACAGGUGCAAUGUCUGAUUCCUCGCCCUCAAUCAGAUGACAGAAAGGAAGUUUGGUUGAAGCACAUGCAGGAGAAUGAAUGUCAGAAAUGUUGAAACUCUGCCCAGGCAUGAUGUAAUGCCAGUGAGUGCUCUGAUCUGCAGGCUACAAUAAAGAUAUCCUGGGAUGGGCCAUUUACAGUUUCCUGGAAUUGGAAAGACCUGUCUCAGGACCCAAAAUCAUUCCAGUUCUCCCUACUGAUGGAGCGGUGAAGUUUUAAACUAAACCCAAAUGAGAUUCUGGGCUUGUUUUGGUGGGAAUAAAG
Chiroxiphia lanceolata (lance-tailed manakin) is the source of this 660-nucleotide long non-coding RNA. RefSeq lists it as uncharacterized. Lineage: Eukaryota; Metazoa; Chordata; Aves; Passeriformes; Pipridae. The transcript is spliced from 3 exons. The record is from RefSeq and is a predicted model, not a curated record.